CCUACGGGAGACAGCAGUGGGGGAUAUUGCACAAUGGGGGAAACCCUGAUGCAGCGACGCCGCGUGAGUGAAGAAGUAUUUCGGUAUGUAAAGCUCUAUCAGCAGGGAAGAAAAUGACAGUACCUGACCAAGAAGCCCCGGCUAACUACGUGCCAGCAGCCGCGGUACUACGUAGGGGGCAAGCGUUAUCCGGAUUUACUGGGUGUAAAGGGAGCGUAGACGGUUAUGUAAGUCUGGAGUGAAAGCCCGGGGCCCAACCCCGGGACUGCUUUUGAAACUGUGUAACUGGAGUACAGGAGGGGCAGGCGGAAUUCCUGGUGUAGCGGUGAAAUGCGUAGAUAUCAGGAGGAACACCGGCGGCGAAGGCGGCCUGCUGGACUGAAACUGACGUUGAGGCUCGAAAGCGUGGGUAUCAAACAGGAUUAGAUACCCCUGUAGUC
Molecule: ribosomal RNA, 440 nt
Filed under: uncultured bacterium
Lineage: Bacteria
Description: partial 16S ribosomal RNA
Rfam family: Bacterial small subunit ribosomal RNA
Source: RNAcentral